Non-coding RNA from Merluccius polli (Benguela hake), 80 nucleotides. The record is from the annotation of a GenBank genome assembly. Lineage: Eukaryota; Metazoa; Chordata; Actinopteri; Gadiformes; Merlucciidae.
GCCCCAGUGGCCUAAUGGAUAAGGUCACUGGCCCUCCUAAGCCAGGGAUUGUGGGUUCGAGUCCCGUCUGGGGUGAUUCA